CCAUUAAACCAUAUCGGGCGUUGUAAAAAUCCCUCCCUCGGGGGGGUCACGCUGUCGACACCCUUUGCCUAUGUGUACCUCUUGUUGUUUCCUCGGUGGGCUCGCCCACCGAUAGGAAUCCCCUAAACCCUUGUAUCUAUAAGCAUCAAAACUCUGAUAACCACAUAAAUAAUCA
RNAcentral lists this unclassified non-coding RNA (175 nucleotides) under uncultured Massarinaceae. Its description in RNAcentral is "sequence contains ITS1". Lineage: Eukaryota; Fungi; Ascomycota; Dothideomycetes; Pleosporales; Massarinaceae. The record is from RNAcentral.